RNAcentral lists this long non-coding RNA (1324 nucleotides) under Callithrix jacchus (white-tufted-ear marmoset). Its description in RNAcentral is "lncRNA (ENSCJAG00000070494.1)". Lineage: Eukaryota; Metazoa; Chordata; Mammalia; Primates; Cebidae. The record is from RNAcentral.
UCUGUUUCUACUACAUGCCAUUCUGCAUUUUAUUUUAUCAUUAUAAUAAAUGUAGGAAGCUAUAAUUUAUUGUUCAGAUCAGAUAUUAUAUGUUUUCCAAACAUGUCAUUUAAUCAUCAUUACUAUCUCUAUUGGGAGGUGCGAUUACACAUUUUAUAGAUAAGAAAACAGAUUGUUAGAAGAAAAAGAUGUACAUGGAUCAUGUGAUUCUGGCAAGAUUUCUAGUCAGUGCAUGUGCUCUUCUGAUCUCAAAGGAAAAAAAAAAAACCUUGUAAAAAAAAGCGAAAACGACAACAGAAAAACAAUCGUAUUCCAAGCAUUCCAGUACCUUUGUUGUGUAUGUACUUAGCUGUACUAUAAGUAGUUGGUUUGUAUGAGAUGGUUAAAAGGCCAAAGAUUAAAAGGUUUCCUUUUUUUCCUUUUUUUCCUUUUUUCUCUUUGCUAUACACUUCCUGGAGCUCCAUUCACUUCUACAUUUCAUCUCCUUUCAGAGAAGAUGACAUUGAUCCUCAUAACUUUACUUUUUGUUUGAAUUCUAGCCUCAGAUUUUCAAUGCAACACUAUCCUCACAAAAUUCUUUUCUCCUCGUUCAACCACAGGGAAGCUUUUUCUCCCAAUUUCCCUAUUAUUGUUAACUGUUUGACCCUAUAUUCCAAUGUCUAGGCUUCAGGACUUGCAUUAAGCCUCAUUGUCACACAUAUUAUUACUCCCUCCAUCCAAGCCAUUACCACAUACAUCCUCUGUGCCUUUCUUUUUAAUAGUCACUAUUCAUUCAUUUAAUAUUCCUACUCAAUAUCUAUUGGAUGAACAUUUAUUGAACACUUACUAUUAUCCAGGCACAAUCCUAGGAUAUUGGGAUAUAGCAGUAAACAAGAGAGACAAAUAUCUUUCAUUCUUAGUUCAUUUGCAAUGCCAUAACAGGAUAUCAAAAACUGGGUAAUUUAUAAAUAAUAGAAAUUCAUUUCUCACAGUUUUGAAGGCAGGGGAGUUCAAAAUCUAGCCGUUGGGUGGGUUAAGUGUCUGGUGAGGGCCCUGUUCUCUGCUUCCAAGAUGGUGCCUCUUUGCUCAUUCUGUGACCUUUUUCUUGUAUGGCAGAAGGCAGAAGAGCAACGAAGCCUGAGCUAGUUCCUCCGGCCCUUUCAGAAUGCACUAGUUCAUUCGUGAAGGCAGAGAUCUCAUGACUUAAUCACUUCUCAAAAGAACCCAUCUCAAUACCAUCAAAAUGGGGAUUAAGUUUGAAUUUUGAAAGGGACACAUUUAAAUCAUGGCACCGCCAUGAGAAUUUAUAUUAUCAUGUGGAGAAAUAAACAAUAAAGAUUUUGCC